CCUACGUGUGGCAGCAGUAGGGAAUUUUCGGCAAUGGGGGGAACCCUGACCGAGCAACGCCGCGUGAAGGAAGAAGGAAUUCGUUCUGUAAACUUCUGUUAUAAAGGAAGUAAGACGGAUGGUGUAAAUGACAUCCGAGUGACGGUACUUUAUGAGAAAGCCACGGCUAACUACGUGCCAGCCGCCGCGGUAAUACGUAGGUGGCUAGGGUUAUACGGAAUUAGUGGGCGUAAAGAGGGGGCAGGCGGCAGCAAAGGUCUGUGGUUAAAGACUGAAGCGUAACUUCAGUAAGCCAUAGAAACCGGGCAGCUAGAGUGCAGGAGAGGAUCGUGGAAUUCCAUGUGUAGCGGUGAAAUGCGUAGAUAGAUGGAGGAACACCAGUGGCGAAGGCGACGAUCUGGCCUGCAACUGACGCUCAGUCCCGAAAGCGUGGGGAGCAAAUAGGAUUAGAUACCCUUGUAGUC
Molecule: ribosomal RNA, 464 nt
Filed under: uncultured bacterium
Lineage: Bacteria
Description: partial 16S ribosomal RNA
Rfam family: Bacterial small subunit ribosomal RNA
Source: RNAcentral